CUGCUCGCUUCAGCAGCACAUAUACCAAAAUUGGAACGAUUACAGACAAGAUCAGCACGGCCCCUGCACAAGGAUGACAUGCAAAUUUGUGAAGCACUCCGUAUUUUU
RNAcentral lists this small nuclear RNA (108 nucleotides) under Zalophus californianus (California sea lion). The record is from RNAcentral. Lineage: Eukaryota; Metazoa; Chordata; Mammalia; Carnivora; Otariidae.